This is a long non-coding RNA of Carcharodon carcharias (great white shark), 1048 nucleotides long. RefSeq lists it as uncharacterized. Lineage: Eukaryota; Metazoa; Chordata; Chondrichthyes; Lamniformes; Lamnidae. The transcript has 3 exons. The record is from RefSeq and is a predicted model, not a curated record.
CGACAGUGUAUGUAAAUUUAAUCGUGGCUUUCAAAACGGAAGUAGACAAGCACCUGAAGGCAAAACAAUUUGUCAGUUGCUCUCACAGAGAGCCAGCACAGAUUUGGCAGUCCAGGCGGCCUCUUUCUGUACCGCCACCAGAAAAACCAGGAAGCUGCCCGAAGGUGAGAAACACCAGCAGCAACAGAUGGUGUUCAUGCUUGAAAAAUAGUAAAUGUCGGAUGUUCCAACACACUCCAGCACCCUCCUGAACUGGUGCCUUGCUGAUGGUGGACAGGUUUUGAGCAUUCAGGUGGUGAGCCUCUCUUCGUCGAACACCACAAUCUCUACUCUGCUCUUGUAACCACGGUGUUGAUGUCGCUGCGCCAGUCAAUUUCUGCUCUGUGACGACCCCUGAGACAUUGAUGAGAGGGAACUCGGGAGAUGACGGUACAUUGAAAAUCAUUGGCAGUGAGCGGGGCUUCCAUUUGUUGCUUGAUCAUACAACAUGCUGUAUAAAUUGCUAUUCCCUUUGAAAUUUGGCAUUCUUGCAUCUGUCCUGAUGAGUGCAAGGCGAAAAGCUUCAACAUCAUGUCUCUCUUUUUAGCAAUACUCAAAUCUAGAAAGCUUGAUGGCGGAUCUGAAUGAAUGUGGAGAGACUGGAGAAGCUGGGACAGUUCUCUUUGAAACAGAGAAGGUUAAGGGGAGAUCUAAUAGAAGCAUUGAAAUGUUUGGCUAGAGUAAAUACAGCUGUACAGCUUUCCAAUGGCAGAAGGAUCAGGAACCAGAAGGUACAGAUUUAAGGUGAUUGGCACAAGUAGCAGAGUCAAGAAAGCUGUACAGGGCUAUGGGGAAUUUGCAAGUGAGUGAGUUAAUUGGGUAACUGUUUCAAGGAGGUGUGCUAUGGUGAAUGAUCUCUUUCUGUGCUGUAUCCUUCUGUGAAUGUAAUUAAAAUUAAGACUGUAGGGAAGUUUGUGAUUAAACCAGUGGAACCACUCAUCUUAAUUUUCUGUUCAUACUGCUGAUCGUUUUUAUCAUGUCUGCGCUGUUUUGCAUAGCUCCAAGCUGU